RNAcentral lists this ribosomal RNA (225 nucleotides) under uncultured Glomeromycotina. RNAcentral's name for it is "partial small subunit ribosomal RNA". The stretch from base 39 to 225 matches the Rfam family "Eukaryotic small subunit ribosomal RNA", at positions 685 to 874 of the family's 1831-position model. The record is from RNAcentral. Lineage: Eukaryota; Fungi; Glomeromycota.
GGGUUAGUAGGUUGGUCAUGCCUCUGGUAUGUACUGGUCUCACUGAUUCCUCCUUCCUGAUGAACCUUAAUGCCAUUAAUUUGAUGUUUUGGAGAAUUUGGACUGUUACUUUGAAAAAUUAGAGUGUUUAAAGCAAGCUAAUGCUUGAAUACAUUAGCAUGGAAUAAUGAAAUAGGACGUUCGGUCCUAUUUUGUUGGUUUCUAGGAUUGACGUAAUGAUUAAUA